AGCGGCGGACGGGUGAGUAAUGCUUAGGAAUCUGCCUAUUAGUGGGGGACAACAUUCCGAAAGGAAUGCUAAUACCGCAUACGCCCUACGGGGGAAAGCAGGGGAUCUUCGGACCUUGCGCUAAUAGAUGAGCCUAAGUCGGAUUAGCUAGUUGGUGGGGUAAAGGCCUACCAAGGCGACGAUCUGUAGCGGGUCUGAGAGGAUGAUCCGCCACACUGGGACUGAGACACGGCCCAGACUCCUACGGGAGGCAGCAGUGGGGAAUAUUGGACAAUGGGCGGAAGCCUGAUCCAGCCAUGCCGCGUGUGUGAAGAAGGCCUUUUGGUUGUAAAGCACUUUAAGCGAGGAGGAGGCUCUUAAGGUUAAUACCCUUGAUGAGUGGACGUUACUCGCAGAAUAAGCACCGGCUAACUCUGUGCCAGCAGCCGCGGUAAUACAGAGGGUGCGAGCGUUAAUCGGAUUUACUGGGCGUAAAGCGUGCGUAGGCGGCUGAUUAAGUCGGAUGUGAAAUCCCUGAGCUUAACUUAGGAAUUGCAUUCGAUACUGGUCAGCUAGAGUAUGGGAGAGGAUGGUAGAAUUCCAGGUGUAGCGGUGAAAUGCGUAGAGAUCUGGAGGAAUACCGAUGGCGAAGGCAGCCAUCUGGCCUAAUACUGACGCUGAGGUACGAAAGCAUGGGAGCAAACAGGAU
RNAcentral lists this ribosomal RNA (688 nucleotides) under Acinetobacter tandoii. RNAcentral describes it as "bacterial SSU rRNA". It matches the Rfam family "Bacterial small subunit ribosomal RNA", at positions 94 to 778 of the family's 1533-position model. The record is from RNAcentral. Lineage: Bacteria; Pseudomonadati; Pseudomonadota; Gammaproteobacteria; Moraxellales; Moraxellaceae.